This 253-nucleotide ribosomal RNA is filed under the name uncultured bacterium. RNAcentral's name for it is "partial 16S ribosomal RNA". It matches the Rfam family "Bacterial small subunit ribosomal RNA", at positions 524 to 776 of the family's 1533-position model. The record is from RNAcentral.
UACAGAGGUGGCAAGCGUUGUUCGGAAUUACUGGGCGUAAAGGGCGCGUAGGCGGCCGCCUAAGUCAGACGUGAAAUCCCCAAGCUUAACUUGGGAACUGCGUCUGAUACUGGGUGGCUUGAGUUCGGGAGAGGAAUGUGGAAUUCCAGGUGUAGCGGUGAAAUGCGUAGAUAUCUGGAGGAACACCGGUGGCGAAGGCGGCAUUCUGGACCGAAACUGACGCUGAGGCGCGAAAGCCAGGGGAGCAAACGGG